RNAcentral lists this non-coding RNA (185 nucleotides) under Acetivibrio straminisolvens. RNAcentral also lists the same sequence under 1 other name. Lineage: Bacteria; Bacillati; Bacillota; Clostridia; Acetivibrionales; Acetivibrionaceae. The record is from RNAcentral.
UGAAUACAGUGGUUUACAGGUUCGUGCAUAUUUGUAUGCAGAUUAAUAGGGAAGCAGGUGAGAUUCCUGCACGGUCCCGCCGGCUGUGAGGGGGAAGCUCUUCAGAUUAUUGCCACUGGGAAACUGGAAGGUAUGAAGAGUUGAUGAACCUAAGUCAGAAGACCUGCCUGUAAAUAACACCAUAA